RNAcentral lists this ribosomal RNA (620 nucleotides) under uncultured bacterium. RNAcentral's name for it is "bacterial SSU rRNA". It matches the Rfam family "Bacterial small subunit ribosomal RNA", at positions 445 to 1055 of the family's 1533-position model. The record is from RNAcentral.
ACAAUGCUGAGGCGUUAACUGCGCCUCAGUUGAUAGUACCAGAAGAGGAAGAGACGGCUAACUCUGUGCCAGCAGCCGCGGUAAUACAGAGGUCUCAAGCGUUGUUCGGAUUCAUUGGGCGUAAAGGGUGCGUAGGCGGCGCCGUAAGUCAGGUGUGAAAUUUCGGAGCUUAACUCCGAAACUGCAUUUGAUACUACGGUGCUUGAGGACUGGAGAGGAGACUGGAAUUUACGGUGUAGCAGUGAAAUGCGUAGAGAUCGUAAGGAAGACCAGUGGCGAAGGCGGGUCUCUGGACAGUUCCUGACGCUGAGGCACGAAGGCCAGGGGAGCAAACGGGAUUAGAUACCCCGGUAGUCCUGGCAGUAAACGGUGCACGUUUGGUGUGGGAGGAUUCGACCCCUUCUGCGCCGGAGCUAACGCGUUAAACGUGCCGCCUGGGGAGUACGGUCGCAAGAUUAAAACUCAAAGAAAUUGACGGGGGCCCGCACAAGCGGUGGAGUAUGUGGCUUAAUUCGAUGCAACGCGAAGAACCUUACCAGGCCUUGACAUGCAUUGUGUCGGCGGUGAAAGCCGCCUAGUCCCGAAAGGGACGCCUUGCACAGGUGCUGCAUGGCUGUCGU